AAAUUGAAGAGUUUGAUCAUGGCUCAGAUUGAACGCUGGCGGCAGGCCUAACACAUGCAAGUCGAACGGUAACAGGAAGCAGCUUGCUGCUUCGCUGACGAGUGGCGGACGGGUGAGUAAUGUCUGGGAAACUGCCUGAUGGAGGGGGAUAACUACUGGAAACGGUGGCUAAUACCGCAUAAUG
Molecule: ribosomal RNA, 184 nt
Filed under: Salmonella enterica
Lineage: Bacteria; Pseudomonadati; Pseudomonadota; Gammaproteobacteria; Enterobacterales; Enterobacteriaceae
Description: partial 16S ribosomal RNA
Rfam family: Bacterial small subunit ribosomal RNA
Source: RNAcentral